UACGAAGGGGGCUAGCGUUGCUCGGAAUGACUGGGCGUAAAGGGCGCGUAGGCGGCUUAUACAGUCAGGCGUGAAAUUCCUGGGCUCAACCUGGGGACUGCGUCUGAUACGUAUGGGCUUGAGUGUGAAAGAGGGUCGUGGAAUUUCCAGUGUAGAGGUGAAAUUCGUAGAUAUUGGAAAGAACACCGGUGGCGAAGGCGGCGACCUGGUUCAUUACUGACGCUGAGGCGCGAAAGCGUGGGGAGCAAACAGGGAUUAGAUACCCUGGUAUUCCACGCUGUAAACGAUGUGUGCUGGAUGUUGGGGUGCUUAGCACUUCAGUGUCGUAGCUAACGCGGUAAGCACACCGCCUGGGGAGUACGGCCGCAAGGUUGAAACUCA
RNAcentral lists this ribosomal RNA (381 nucleotides) under uncultured bacterium. RNAcentral describes it as "bacterial SSU rRNA". It matches the Rfam family "Bacterial small subunit ribosomal RNA", at positions 524 to 903 of the family's 1533-position model. The record is from RNAcentral.